Molecule: long non-coding RNA, 500 nt
Organism: Pseudophryne corroboree (corroboree frog)
Lineage: Eukaryota; Metazoa; Chordata; Amphibia; Anura; Myobatrachidae
Exons: 3
Source: RefSeq, a predicted model, not a curated record
CAAACUCGAGUUAUGAUUAGGUGAAAGAAUAAUCUAACAUAUGUACUAAUGUGGACUAUAUCUGUUUUUCAGGUGAUGGGGGUUACGGCUGCUACUCUUGGCUCCUUACUCCAUUGUCCCAACCUGAUUCUCCUGCUGAACACAGUUACAAUCAUGCACAUAAGGCUACGCGGAAUGUGAUAGAAAGAUGUUUUGGUGUGCUGAAGUCACGGUUUCGGUGUCUGGAUAAAUCUGCUGGCCUUUUGUUGUAUAGUCCCUCAAAGAUAACUGAGGGGAUCGGGGCUCAUCACUCUGCGAACUCGCCAAUAGUGCCAGUGGUGGCUGGGGUGACACUGCCGAAAGUCGUCGCCUGGGUGGGGAUGAUGGAGCCGCAGAUUCCGAGCCAAGACGCCGUGUCUUACUUGGCCUCCUGGAAUAUGUGACUACACUGAAGUCUUACCUGCAAUCCCAGCCUCAUCCUGACUUGUCUGAGGCCUGUCUGGCCGGCUGGUCUGUGGGAC